CCUACGGGAGGCAGCAGUGGGGAAUAUUGCACAAUGGGGGAAACCCUGAUGCAGCGACGCCGCGUGAGUGAAGAAGUAUUUCGGUAUGUAAAGCUCUAUCAGCAGGGAAGAAAAUGACGGUACCUGACUAAGAAGCCCCGGCUAACUACGUGCCAGCAGCCGCGGUAAUACGUAGGGGGCAAGCGUUAUCCGGAUUUACUGGGUGUAAAGGGAGCGUAGACGGCAGCGCAAGUCUGGAGUGAAAUCCAAUGGAUUAACCAUGGAACUGCUUUGGAAACUGUGCAGCUGGAGUGCAGGAGAGGUAAGCGGAAUUCCUAGUGUAGCGGUGAAAUGCGUAGAUAUUAGGAGGAACACCAGUGGCGAAGGCGGCUUACUGGACUGUAACUGACGUUGAGGCUCGAAAGCGUGGGGAGCAAACAGGAUUAGAUACCCGAGUAGUC
RNAcentral lists this ribosomal RNA (440 nucleotides) under uncultured bacterium. RNAcentral describes it as "partial 16S ribosomal RNA". It matches the Rfam family "Bacterial small subunit ribosomal RNA", at positions 338 to 795 of the family's 1533-position model. The record is from RNAcentral.